RNAcentral lists this ribosomal RNA (468 nucleotides) under uncultured bacterium. Its description in RNAcentral is "partial 16S ribosomal RNA". It matches the Rfam family "Bacterial small subunit ribosomal RNA", at positions 28 to 507 of the family's 1533-position model. The record is from RNAcentral.
GACGAACGCUGGCGGCGUGCUUAACACAUGCAAGUCGAACGGAAAGGCCCUGCUCUUGUUGGUUUCUCGAUUGGCGCACGGGUGUGUAACACGUGAGUAACCUGCCCUUGUCUUUGUGAUAUCUCCUGGAAACUGCGGCUCAUACCCCAUAUAAUCUCCUGCUCCAUGUUGUUGGUUGGAAAGUUUCGGCUGUGCGGGAUGGACUCGCUGGUUAUCCGCUUGUUUGUGGGGUAGUGGCUUACCAAGGCUUUGACGGGUAGCCUGCCUGAGAGGGUGAACGGCCACAUGGGGACUGAGAGACGGACCAGAAUGCUACGGGAGGCAGCAGUGGGAAAUAUGGCACAAUGGGCGGAAGCCUGAUGCAGAGACGCCGCGUGCGGGAUAACGGCCUUCGGGUGGUAAACAGAUUUCGACGGUGACGAAGCGUGAGUGACGGUAAUGGGUAAAGAAGCAACGGCUAACUACGUG